Molecule: ribosomal RNA, 410 nt
Filed under: Acidobacteriota bacterium
Lineage: Bacteria; Pseudomonadati; Acidobacteriota
Description: Acidobacteria bacterium partial 16S ribosomal RNA
Rfam family: Bacterial small subunit ribosomal RNA
Source: RNAcentral
UCGAGAAUCAUUCACAAUGGGGGAAACCCUGAUGGUGCGACGCCGCGUGGGGGAAUGAAGGUCUUCGGAUUGUAAACCCCUGUCAUGUGGGAGCAAAUUAAAAAGAUAGUACCACAAGAGGAAGAGACGGCUAACUCUGUGCCAGCAGCCGCGGUAAUACAGAGGUCUCAAGCGUUGUUCGGAAUCACUGGGCGUAAAGCGUGCGUAGGCGGUUUCGUAAGUCGUGUGUGAAAGGCGGGGGCUCAACCCCCGGACUGCACAUGAUACUGCGAGACUAGAGUAAUGGAGGGGGAACCGGAAUUCUCGGUGUAGCAGUGAACUGCGUAGAUAUCGAGAGGAACACUCGUGGCGAAGGCGGGUUCCUGGACAUUAACUGACGCUGAGGCACGAAGGCCAGGGGAGCGAAAGGG